RNAcentral lists this ribosomal RNA (732 nucleotides) under Triticum aestivum (bread wheat). RNAcentral describes it as "partial small subunit ribosomal RNA". The record is from RNAcentral. Lineage: Eukaryota; Viridiplantae; Streptophyta; Magnoliopsida; Poales; Poaceae.
AUGAUCAUUUUACAUCACGAUAUCUUUUUCUUUCUCAUUCUUAUUUUGGUUUUCGUAUCACGGAUGUUGGUUCGCGCUUUAUGGCAUUUCAACGAGCAAACUAAUCCAAUCCCACAAAGGAUUGAUCUCAAUGUUAUCGUCAUGACCAAUGCUCCUAACGAGGGUGACUUUCCCAUAGACCAACCUCCCGUUGGCGGACUACCAGACCUCCAGCAGGAAAUGGCGCACGCCGCCCAUCCCGAAGACAUUAUUGCGGAGUUGACUUCCAAGGUUGAAAGAAUAUUUCACGAAGUAGGCACUCCUCUUCCUUUAGAGGAGGGUGAAUCUGCGCGUUCGUUCACUGAAAAUCAUAUAUUGUGGAAUAGUGAGGGAGGAGAUACUCUUCAACAAAUCUUCUCAGAUUAUACGGAAGCCGGGGACGCAAGCGAAUUCGUCGCAAUAGCCACCAAUCUGGCGAAGCGGUUUCGCCGCGCCGAGCUCGGUGAACCAGAUUCUCCCGACCCCGAUGCGCCUGUGGAAGAGCAGGAGGCUCAUUCCACGGGAUCCCCUGAAAGCACAAAAGCAAAUGAUGGGGCGGACGAGGCAGGCCCGUCUUCUUCGAGGAAGCGUAAAAGGUGGGAUGAUGAUUCGGGGUCCGAAGAUGACGAUUCGGGGGGACCCGGGGAAUCUCCAGAUCCAGUGGAAAUCGUUUACGAAGGGGAUGCACAAGGGUACAACUGGGAGGGGAAUUAG